CAGGUAUUGGAAAAAGCACGUU
This 22-nucleotide microRNA is filed under the name Ptychodera flava. Its description in RNAcentral is "Pfl-Mir-4829-P3_5p* (star (passenger))". Lineage: Eukaryota; Metazoa; Hemichordata; Enteropneusta; Ptychoderidae. The record is from RNAcentral.